RNAcentral lists this long non-coding RNA (380 nucleotides) under Parus major (Great Tit). RNAcentral's name for it is "lncRNA (ENSPMJG00000005119.1)". Lineage: Eukaryota; Metazoa; Chordata; Aves; Passeriformes; Paridae. The record is from RNAcentral.
CUUUUCUACAGGAAUUUUGGCUGGGCCUAGUGUACUGGCAGGCCUCACUCAGGCUGGGAUUUAUGGCUGGAGCUGGUACCCCUGGGGCAAACAGGUCUCGGUGUGAGUCAGGGCAGACCUCGGCCGUGCCAACGCAUGCGCUGCUGCCCUCCAGAAGGUGUGGAUCUCCUAGGAAAAAGAUCAGCACAGCCUCCAUUGGGAGUUGCUGUAGACAACAAAGAUGGAGCCAACCCCCACAAGCAGAGAGAGGAGAGUACACAGCAACAGCUGAAGGUGCAAGGUGUGCUUGGGUGACCCAAGGACAGGAAGAACAUCAACAAAGAACCAGGAGGUGCGGGGAGAAGUUCCCAGUUGGAAGCAGAGAUUUAAUUAAAAAAUGA